GACGUAGGGGGCGAGCGUUGUCCGGAUUUAUUGGGCGUAAAGCGCACGUAGGCGGCUUCGCAAGUCGGAUGUGAAAUCCCUCGGCUCAACCAAGGACGUGCAUCCGAAACUGCAAAGCUUGAGUACAGAAGAGGAUCGCGGAAUUCCCGGUGUAGCGGUGAAAUGCGCAGAUAUCGGGAGGAACACCAAUGGCGAAGGCAGCUUGCUGGGACGGUACUGACGCUGAGACGCGAAAGCGUGGGGAGCAAACAGG
RNAcentral lists this ribosomal RNA (253 nucleotides) under uncultured bacterium. RNAcentral describes it as "partial 16S ribosomal RNA". It matches the Rfam family "Bacterial small subunit ribosomal RNA", at positions 524 to 776 of the family's 1533-position model. The record is from RNAcentral.